RNAcentral lists this ribosomal RNA (253 nucleotides) under uncultured bacterium. Its description in RNAcentral is "partial 16S ribosomal RNA". It matches the Rfam family "Bacterial small subunit ribosomal RNA", at positions 524 to 776 of the family's 1533-position model. The record is from RNAcentral.
UACAGAGGGUGCAAGCGUUGUUCGGAAUCAUUGGGCGUAAAGCGCACGUAGGCGGCGAUGCAAGUCAGAUGUGAAAGCCCAGAGCUCAACUCUGGAAGUGCAUCCGAAACUGCAUCGCUUGAGUCCCGGAGAGGGUGGUGGAAUUCCCAGUGUAGAGGUGAAAUUCGUAGAGAUUGGGAGGAACAUCAGUGGCGAAGGCGACCACCUGGACGGAGACUGACGCUGAGGUGCGAAAGCGUGGGGAGCAAACAGG